CCCCUUCCCCUCCCCCUCCCCUCCCCUCCCCGGGACAGCGACCGCCGCCUCACACACCCCCACCCCGCGCGCUGCCUCCUGGCACGGCUCCCCUCACCGACCCCGCUCCAAGUCACCCCUGUCCCCUCCCCCUGCUGUGGCUGUUUCCCCCCCUACCCCGACGCCCUUAGGGUCCCGGGCCCCCGUCCCAGGGCUGGGAGCGGAGAGGCAGCGGUCUCCGCUCUCUGCCCCGCGCGACAGGAUGCCGAGCCACAUGGACCUGCCGUCCGACCCGGUCCGUGGCAACUCGUUCGUAACCAGCUGGAGAAACGGGGUAAAACAUCAGCCUGCCUUUGAGAAGCCUUCAGCGGUCCAACAUUAAGCGCUCGAUUAAAAGCUGUGAUCCUGUGUGACCUGGAGGCUUUUCCUCGGCCCCAGUAUAGUUUUCCAAGUCCAGCAACCGUUCCAGGAAGAUGAAGGAAGCGGAGCAGGCACUUACAAUGAUGCACGCAAAUGUUUCACGGCAAUGCAGCUCCCAUGAGAUCAGACCUAACCAGGUAGCCGGAAGCCGAACAGCCUGUAUAAAGUCUCAUCAGCCUUGGGAAAACAGAGACAUGGGGCUCUCCAGAACAGCAGCUCCCCAAUGAAGUCUACAGCCAUCUCCAGUGCCUCGGUGCUUGCUGAUAACUUCUACCAAGCAACAGCUGGGAGAAAUGCUCAAAACCCUUCUCUUCACUUCCCUCACCUGGAAACCUGGGCAGCAGUGAAAGCAGCCAGAAUUGCAUAGCAGGCCAUAAGAACAGCUGACAUGUCCAAGCAGGUAGCUUGUUUUCCCAGUCCGCAUCUCAAUUCUCACAACACGCCACUCAGUGAGAAGCCUAUGUUUUGGCCCUAUCAGUGGGUGGCCUCUCUCUAACAGAGCCACCCAAGGCCUUCAGGAGAGGAGAAAAAACGUAAAGCAACAGAGGUCAGAAAGGAAAAGAAAAAACAGAUGGCACAGCUGAGCACAGGGAGCACUCGCCCACCAUGGGCUUGCAAGCAGGGGUCCAUCAUUACAAGGCCUAGGAACAGUGCCCUGGGAGGAACCGCUGAACCUUCCUGUUCAGGGAAGCUCCGCUUACGAAGCGUCAUCUAGGAUGCUCACGUUAGCUUUGCCCGUGCAAAAAAUGUACGUGUCAUUGUCAGUCGGGAUCGGGGUGCUGGCAGCUAAACCAUCCAUAGACAUGGUUGGUUGCAAGCAUAGAUAAAGCCAAAUCCUGCUGAGCAUAGUUUUGGAACCCUCCAUGUUCAGUUGCACCUGUUCUUGUUACCCACUGUCAAGAAAAGGUACUUCUAGCACAGAGAAGUUAGGGCUUUACCCCAGAACUCUGCAUGCUCCCUCUAAUCUGGUCCUUCGGCCUUUGAUUAAUUGUUAUCUGGUCUGUUUUCCACAGCCCUAUCGCACAAAAGCCCUUUUUUGGGGGUGGGGACGAGAAGUCUUUGAGAAAUCAGCUUUAGGUAUUAAUGAGAGAUUUGCAUAGAAUGUGACUAAAUGCUUAUUCUUAGCCCAUUUACCAACCACACUUGUCAGUCAACUGCAGGCUUCUGAUAGACUUCCAAAAUAUCUCCAGGAAACAAAGGCAAUGGGGCAAGGUUAACAUUCUGCAAGACUCUGAAAUGCAAGGAGAAGAGAGAGAGCAAAGAGCAUGAGUCAGGGCUGUAAUGUGUGCAUGCAUGCUGCCAUAAAGCACUUCAGCCUAUUGAAUUUGUGGCUCUCAAUCAAUUGGUGAGAUGGCAUUUUGCUGCUUCAUUGCAGAGCUGCUGUUUUUAGCAUGUUUCAGCCAUCCUGCUGUCCUUGUCUUCUUCUUAUUCUGUUCUUGCUUUCAAGAUUAUCAUCAGAAGUGCUGCAGGAGCCACCCAAAGGCAGCUGAAAGAUUUUGUUACUCUCUUUAUUCCCUCACUUCUUGAGAAGUUUCAGCUGCCAUAGUCCUAACCGUGAUUUCAUUGCAGUCCUCUGAAAUGUUGCAACUGCUCUCUAGGAGUUGGAUCAGACCCCACCUCCUCAAAAUCCUGGUCAACAGAGCACAUUAAAAGAAACUGCCAGAACCAAGCUAAGCAGGUGAAAGAUCAGGGGUGAAGUGUUUUGCAAAUCCAGUCUUGCAUACAAAAGAAAGUGUCCUUUGGCAUGUGAUUUCAUGCGAGUUGCAACUUUUCUAUUGGUCUGACACACAAAGUUAUGCGGUCAUUUCACCAUUUCUCCCUCUAGCUAAGCAACAGGGGUGUACAACUGUGCUCCACAAAGACGCAGUGCAGUUGUUCAACCUAAGUCAUCUAGCCAGUGGGGCCAAUUUUUUUUGGCAGACAAGUCACAAGUCCUGCACCCUCCUCAAGUGCCACUCUAAUCCCCUUUUCCUGCCCUGCUGCUUUGCUUUCUGCUCUACCAUGUACCACCCAAAAGAUGGCCACAAGUGGCAUGAAUCACUGGCCGAGGACCCUUUCCAAUGGUUGCAGAUGGGAAGGGCAAGUUUGUUUCCAUGCUUCCAGAUCUUGGGAUCUAUGAGCCAUUUUAUACAGGUUCCUGGGCUGCUCUCUCCCAACACCUUGCUAGCAAGGCACAGCCCUGCCAUAGCACAGAUCUCAGGCUUACUAUUGACUCUAACACUGGAAUUGUAGGGGGAUAAAUGUCUGUCCCAGCUCUCGCCCUAUUCUCACUAUGCAUGAAGCCCCAGACUUUGGAGGGCAGAGAGCCUGCUGCCCUGGAGAAUGAUAACCCAUGCACUUACAGGGGAGGUUUCUCUGCAAAUAGGUCUGGAAGGUACAAUCCAGGCCUAUCCGAACUAGGGGUGCACUGAUGUUUUCUUGGCCGAUACUGAUAGCCAAUUAUUCACCUGGCGUAUUGGCUGAUACCAAUCUGAUAACUGAUGUACAGAAAUGUAUCCAGGCAGCACAGAGAGCAGCUCCCUCCAGGUAA
Molecule: long non-coding RNA, 2929 nt
Organism: Alligator mississippiensis (American alligator)
Lineage: Eukaryota; Metazoa; Chordata; Crocodylia; Alligatoridae
Exons: 5
Source: RefSeq, a predicted model, not a curated record